UGAAAUGUUUCGUCCCAAAUUUACUCUCUCAUUGCCCUUCAACCUUUUCUUACUUGUGCACAAGUCUUUUAGAAAUUUUGCAUACUUUGGAACCUGCUUAAUAACAUCAAGUAGCGGAAUGUUUACCGCAACCUUUCGGAAAACAUCCAGUAUCUCUCUUUCUUUGUCUCCCUCCUCAAUUCUUUUAUUUUUCAGAACUCUAUGUGGGAAGGGGACUGGUG
This 221-nucleotide long non-coding RNA is filed under the name Lathyrus oleraceus (garden pea). Its description in RNAcentral is "Pisum sativum (pea) long non-coding RNA (PSAT_LNC013207)". The record is from RNAcentral. Lineage: Eukaryota; Viridiplantae; Streptophyta; Magnoliopsida; Fabales; Fabaceae.